UCCCUGGCAGUCCAAUGGUUAGGACUCUGCACUUCUACUGUCAAAGGCCUGGGUUCAAUUCCUGCUCAGGGAA
This 73-nucleotide transfer RNA is filed under the name Bos taurus (domestic cattle). It matches the Rfam family "tRNA". Rfam says of the family: Transfer RNA (tRNA) molecules are approximately 80 nucleotides in length. Their secondary structure includes four short double-helical elements and three loops (D, anti-codon, and T loops). Further hydrogen bonds mediate the characteristic L-shaped molecular structure. tRNAs have two regions of fundamental functional importance: the anti-codon, which is responsible for specific mRNA codon recognition, and the 3' end, to which the tRNAs corresponding amino acid is attached (by aminoacyl-tRNA synthetases). tRNAs cope with the degeneracy of the genetic code in two manners: having more than one tRNA (with a specific anti-codon) for a particular amino acid; and 'wobble' base-pairing, i.e. permitting non-standard base-pairing at the 3rd anti-codon position. Lineage: Eukaryota; Metazoa; Chordata; Mammalia; Artiodactyla; Bovidae. RNAcentral also lists the same sequence under 1 other name. The record is from Rfam by way of RNAcentral.